UGGGAUUUCAGCUCAGGGGUAGAGCGCUCACUUAGCAUGUGUGAGGCCCUGGGUUCGAUCCUCAGCAUCACAU
Non-coding RNA from Ictidomys tridecemlineatus (thirteen-lined ground squirrel), 73 nucleotides. The record is from Rfam. Lineage: Eukaryota; Metazoa; Chordata; Mammalia; Rodentia; Sciuridae.